GCCAGCAUGAUGUAGUGCUUUGUGUGUUGAACUAUGACUCCAGAGACUAGGGUUCAAUUCCCAGUUUGGCC
Phrynosoma platyrhinos (Desert horned lizard) is the source of this 71-nucleotide non-coding RNA. The record is from the annotation of a GenBank genome assembly. NCBI's taxonomy places the organism in Eukaryota, Metazoa, Chordata, Lepidosauria, Squamata, Phrynosomatidae.